This 1176-nucleotide ribosomal RNA is filed under the name Triticum aestivum (bread wheat). RNAcentral's name for it is "partial small subunit ribosomal RNA". The record is from RNAcentral. Lineage: Eukaryota; Viridiplantae; Streptophyta; Magnoliopsida; Poales; Poaceae.
AUGCGGCGGCGAGGAAUGGGUUCGUUGGGGAAGUCGGGGAAGCGCCGGACAAGGUGCUUGCCUGCGGCCACCGCCCUCGCCUCCACAAUCACCACGUCCUCGUCGUCAUCCUCCACAAACCCCGAAGAAACCACCUCGCCAUCGCCCUACUUCCUACCGGAGCUGAUCCCGUUGAUCGCAAGCCGCUUGACGACCCUCGAGGACAUCUUCGCCCUCCGCGCUGCCUGCCGCGCCUACCGGGCUCGCCUCCCGCUGUCUUCCUCAACCCUCGCCUCGCAGGGUCCGCUACUCCUCGUCCAGCACAAGACGUCUGCCGCGCUCUUCCACGUCCCCCUCCGCCGCAUCCUGCGCUUCCGCCUCCCACGCGCCCGCCUAGCCCAUGGAAUAAGACCCACCUGCUUCGGCCGGCUCUUCACCCCCCAAGUCCGCAGCCUCACCUGCUUCCACUCCUUCGGCUGUCGCGUCGCCAUACAAGGCAUGAGCGCCGGCGCCAGCCGCCCCGAGCUCCGCAUCCGCCACCUCCUCACAGGUGAGCGAGCCCGCCUGCCUGAUCCCCCGAAAUGCGUUGGAGGUAUUCUCUUUUCCAAUGACCUAAUCCUUGCCUUCACGCCAUGGCACCGCGACAUCUACUACUGCCGCAUUGGGGAUGCUCAGUGGCAAGCGGCGCGGUGCGAUGAGGGCUACAACCUUCACAGUCUGAUGUUCGUGAAAGACACCCUCUAUGCGUUGAUUUAUCCAAAUUAUCGUCUUGCUGUUGUCGAUCUUGACAACAAUUCCGUGGUAUUGUCGUUUCUUGGGGAUGAACUCAGCGCACAUACAGUACCAGAUGGUAAUUUGGCGGACUGGCUCGCAGAGUGUCAUGGUGAGCUAUUGCUAAUUAUCAGAAGGAGGCUGUACCGUGUGUUCCAGUGGCAAUCUAAGGAGAGGAAGUGGGCGAGGACACAUAGCCUUGGUGGUUGUAGCUUGUUCUUUAAUAUGCAUGAGUUUGCUGGUUGCCUUGGUCCAGAUCAUCCGGGAGUUCGAAGAGACUGCUUGUACUUUACUGGAAGCUUUGGGAACUGGAGCGAGUAUUCUUUGGUUGAUAGAUCUUUGAAUGAAAUUGUUGCCGAGUACCCAGGGCAAUCAGUAUCGAAGGAUUUUGUAUCACUGGCUUGGGUCCUUCCAAGCAUUUGUUGA